This 42219-nucleotide long non-coding RNA is filed under the name Vitis vinifera (wine grape). RNAcentral describes it as "long non-coding RNA (VVIN_LNC000131)". Lineage: Eukaryota; Viridiplantae; Streptophyta; Magnoliopsida; Vitales; Vitaceae. The record is from RNAcentral.
CCUUAUCUACUCUAUUACUGCCACUUCGUUCCCAAGGUUCGGGUCUAUGAAGCGGACCUCCUGGACCCGAAAACCAAAGCCAACAUUAACCAUGGUGUUGCCAUCUGUCACUUGGACACCUCCGAUUGGAGCGCAGGUCAUGGUGCAUUCGUAGCAUUGGGUUCGGGCCCUGGCCGGAUUGAAGUUUGUCACUGGAUCUUCGAGAAUGAUAUGACCUGGACCAUUGUAGACUGAUUCAUGACCCACCUUGUCAGCUCAGUUCGAACCACUUGGUCAACCAAGCUGGCGCGACCCCGACAUCUGCUUGUUCGUUUCCUUCAUAACGAGUCAUGGUGAAAUAUUUCAAGGCAUUUGCUUCAUCUAUGUAAGGAUGGUAAUUUAUCUCAGUUGUGCGAGAGCUAAGGAAGGAUUAAAAUGUUGAAAAUUAUAAAAAUAUGGGUAGUUAAAAUUUAGAUAAAUAUAGAAAAAUGUUGGACAGAAAAUUGGUUAAAAAAUACCAGUUUAAAAGAAAUUGAUGGUAAAAUAAGUAAUAAUUUAUGAAAACUCAAAAAAAUAAAAAAUAAAUAAUAAUAUAUAUUUUAAAAUUGUUUUAUUAGAGAAAAUUAUAUAUAUAUGGAUAAAAUUUAUAAUAUUAAUUUGUAAAAGUUGAAAAUAUAUUUAUUAAACACAUUUAAUAUUAAAAUUAUUAUCUAAUUAGUAUAGAUGUAUUUAAGUCUAUAAAAGAAUGAUAAGUGUGCAUAUAUAAUAUUUAAUUAUUAUUUAAAAAUAUAUAAAAAAAAUAAAUUAAGAAGAUUAUUAUGAUGAUUUUCAGAUCCGUUGAAUGAAAUUUUAAAGUACCAUAGUUAAAAGUAAUUCAUUUAAUUUUUUUUUUAAUUUAAUAUUAAUUUCAUGUCUUGGGUUCAGAUGAUGAAGAUUUUAUUAAUAUGAUACUUCAUUCGUACGUGAAAGCAAGAGAAAAGUGACAAAAUCAGGAUAAAAUCCUAAAAUAUUAAAGAAAUAUCAUGAAAUCGAGGAGAAAUAUCAAGAGACUUUAGAGAAAUACUAGGAAUUUUCAUAGAAAUAUCAAAAAAUGUAGGAAAAAAAUAGAGAAAUACUAGUAAAUAACGACAAUAUUGGUUGAUUUUUGGCAAGCCAAGAUUUCCAUCCCUUUUUGGUAUCACGACCGGUCGAUGCACUGAAAUUUGAAGAUAUUUCAUUGAAAUAAUGUUGAUAUUUUCACCCAAAUUUCGCAACGUUUUAAUCUUUGAACCUAACAAAUGCUUUGAUGGCUUCCGAAAGGUGGAAGGUAAUGAAUGAAUGGCUUUCAGUAAUCAGUAUUAGAACAAUGGUGCUUCGCUGGGGCUUCAUUUCCUAAUAAUGGCCUAGAAAUCUAUGAAAGAUGCAAAAUUGAUGUGAGGUCCACGUGAUGUACAUGGACAAAAUUGCUCUUUUAUUAUUUAAGCAUGUGAUAGUUGUGGAAAUGGGCCAAAGAAUUCUCUCAUUACAUGGAUGCAUAUGUGAUGGAUAACAUGACAAAUGCAAUAUUGCAUAAAACAAACAGGGUCAAGCCCUAGUUUUAGAAAUGAAGCUCUUGUACUCAAAACUAGGAGAAUAACGAAGACCUCUCUAACUAAGGUUAUGGCAAAGACCUCCACGAUCAGGGCAAUGGCAAAUACAUAGAUAGAAGGGAGGUUGCACAAUUGCAAAACCUUGGUGAAGGGAGGGAAAUGAGGGUGAAGUCAUGAUGGUGAAAUGACCACAAUCCAAGCCUUGGUAAGUUAUAUAUUAAUGUCCCUCCCAAUCUUAAAGUCUUGAAAUUGAUUUGAUAGGUUCUAUCAUCAGUUUGGCUUGGAAACAAACCAAGAAUCUAAAGCCUAUGAAGUAAAAGAAAAUGAGUGAUGUUAGAGAAAAUGUUAUAAAUUGAAUAGAUUUAUGUUAUUGAAAUUUCUAGAGAGUAGAUAAUUAUACAACUAUUUUGAUAAGCCGAAUACAAUAUUAAGCAAUGGAAUGAAAAUAUUAGUUUGAAAUCUUCAAAUUGAUAACAAAUGUGACAGUGGGAAUCAAGCAAGGAAAAAAAAUAUUGGGAUAUAUUAGCGAUAUAUCGGUGAUAUAUCGUGUAUCAGAGAAGACAAAUAUGAUAUAUAGAUAAGAUAUAUCGUCUGACGAAAAUAUUGGUAAAUAUCGGUGAUACAAGUAAAAUAUCGACCAUAAAUAAGAAAAAAUCGUUGAAAUUUUGGAGAUAUAUUGGAUAUAUCGAAGAUAUAUCGGUGAAAAAUCGAUAAAAAAUUAAAUUAUUAUAAAUAAGUUAAUUUUAAUUAUGCUUUAAUUUAUUUUGUAUGCUAAUUAAAUAUAAAAUCAUAAAUAAAAUUAUCAAUAUUUUUAAAUAAAAAUAUUUUGUAUCAAAAUGUACCAAUAUUUUAAAAUAAAAAUCAUAAAUAUAUUUAAAUAGCAUAAUUAGUAAAUUUGCAAUAAUUUAGUUUUAAAUUAAUUAUUUUAUUUUAUUUUGAUAUUCAAGUGUAAUAAUAGUAUAUUGAGAAUAAAUUAACUUAAUACAUUUUUAAAUUAGUAUAACAUUGAAUUUAAAUUAGUACAUUUUUAUAAUUAAUUAAUGUAUUUUUUAUAGAGGUAAGUAAAUUAACUUAAUAUAGUAAUAUAUUUAAAUCAUAUAAUUAGUAUAUUUAUAAUAAUUUAAUUUCAUAAUGAGUUUACACUUACAAAAUUCACAUUUCUUAUCAGUCGAUACUAUAUAAUUAAAUUUAAUAUUGCAAAUCAUAUCAUACAUAUAUUAAUUUUUUCAACAAAACAAUUUUAAAAUGUCUAUUAUACUUCUAAUUUCAUUUUUAAGAGUUCUUUACUUACAUUUUCAUAAGUUUUGAUGAAUUUUUUGUGUAUCGAUAUUUUGUGUCAAAAUAUCUACCGAUAUAUCUCUGAUAUAUCCGAUAUAUUUGUAAAAUCUAAGUAUCGAUAUAUCCAUGAUUACCGAUAUUUUCAUUCUUGAAAACAAGCUCAUGCAAAAUUUUGAUAUAGCUCUAGUGUUUUGCAUAAUAACCUUUUGAGGUUCAACACUCGAUGUGAGAAUAAACCAAUAUCAAAGUACCUUAUUGAUUUGUAGCCUUAUUCUAACCUAGUUGUAAAAUCUAAUAGGCUUAAUUCUUCUUAACUUUGAUAUAGUUCCCCAUAUAUGCCCCCAUUUUUAUUAAAGCUUUAGCAACUCCCAAGCCAUAAGGCUUUAGGGCACUAGGAUUAAUUAGUGAUUUUCUUCGGAUUCAUACCCUAGUUUCUGGUCAAUUAUAGGUUUUUCCACAUAUGCUUCAAUCUCAAGACACCUACAUUUUGAUGUGAACCUCAACUCUUACCUAGGAGUAAAGGGUACUAAAUUACUCAAUAGGGACUCUUGCCAAAGGCAAACCCAACAACAACUUAAGGAUAAUAAACCCAAAAUUUAUCAUACAAGAACUUAGACCCUUGAUGCCUUCAACCUACCUCACUCGUCUAUGUGCACCAUGUGUUAUAAAGGGUGAACAAGAAAUAUCCACUUGGAUUAUUAAUGGUUUAGGUUUUAAGUUGAACCAUGUUUGUUACUAGGCUACUGCCUAAUCAAGUAAUUUGACCCUUUGUAUUGAUGUAACCUAGUUUCAACUUACUCAGCCUCCAAAAUUUUGAUAAGAAAGACUCUCAAAAUUGAAUUUAGGGUAAGUGCAAGUAUGAGGUACAAGUAUGCACAAGGGUUCCUGUUUUUUUUUUUUUUGGUAAAUUUUUCAUUCUAACCCAUCCUUUACCACCCAUAUAUCAUCACAUCCUAUUCAUAUAAUAUUCAAUAACUACUCACCCCCUGACCUAACCUAAACAUUGUCCUUAAUGUUUUCAAGUAAUAGAGAAUAAAGGUAUGAAACAAUUCAACAAUGAGGAAAAAGAAGGGGGAGAUGGAAGGAUAUCCUCCCAUAGCACUGGUGAAAGUAGAAGGAUGACUUAGAGAAUUAUUUAAAAGCUAUAAAGCGAAAUAAAUAUAAAAUAAGACAAAUAAAAUAAAGAUAGGUAGGCAUUAUUUUAUUUUAUUUUAUUGUUUAAAAAUGGAUCCAAAAUAGGUGCGAAAGGUUAACUUGUUUCUUGUUAAAUAUGAGUUUGAUGGUCCCAUAACUCCAUAACAUCAAUGGGUUGUUUAAUUUUUGCACUGAAAUUAAGAGAAUAAACACGUUGAGAAUAUUCCCCUUUCAUUUAUUUUUCAGGAACUUCUUUUUUGGAACCAUGAAGAUGAUCAUAUGUAAACAGUAUUAUAUGUUAUGGAAAAAAGGAAAAAGUCGAAGUGAUAUGCUAAUUCUGAUGGUGGUGGAGGUGGUGAGAACUGAGAAGAUGGCUGUGAAGGUGGUAGUGGUGGUGGUGAAAGUCCAAGCCUCCGCCAUUUUCCAAAGGGUAAGCCAUCUGAUCAGACCAUUUUUCAGAUGGGCUUUUUGUCAACUCGAGCAAGGAGUCCCUGACAUGGUCAGCUUGAACCAUCUCACUGUCCCUCUUCUGCUACCAAGAUGAGAAAAUCAACAGAUACACAUGAAAAUAAUUUAUCAAACAGUUGAUGAGAAGUGUUCAAGGGUGGCCUUACCUCUACUUUGAACACAUUAGAAACCAGGCCUUUGCAGCUUGUUACAUUUGCAUUUGUCACUUCCAAGCCUAGAGAGCUCAGAGCCUCCAUCAGCCUCGCAAACCCGCCAGCCUUGUGCUCACAAAACACCUUAACGAAGAACUCAUUGCCUUCUAUCUGAGCCACUUCCACUUGGGGCUGCAGCAUAGUUUCAACUUUCACUUCCAAUUGAACACACAGAAAAGAGAAUCACAGAAUGGAAACAAUAAAUAUCAUCAAGUACCUCCAUCUGCUGUGCUUUGUCAUUGUUGAUUUGAUCAGUUUCAUGGUUUUGCUUAGGGAGCCUGCAGGCACUGCCAUUGCCUGCUUCUCCCAUAUGAAUCCCGUUUUGAGCUUCUUCAUUUUCAGUUUUAGACCCAAUGUUAACUCCUGAUCCAUCAUUGUUCAGAAUUUCAGAUUGGACAUUGUUAUGGUUGCUGUUGAUGCCUGCAUUAAUCUUCCCCCCUUCAUCGUCUGAAUGCUCUUCCAGCUCAUCUUGAAGAUCCUUUGCUUGUUUCUGCAACUCCUUCACAAAUUCUAUUGCAUCACCCAGAAUUGAAGCUCUAUCCAACUAGGAAUCAAAAAUACAUCAGAUAUCAGUAAAAAGUACUAAUCAUAGUGUGAAUUAAUCUUGAAGAAUCUUGACCAGGCCAAAGAAGAAUGACAGCCACCUUAGAUAUUUUGGGAACCAAAGCACGAAGCGCAUAGAGUCUAUCAUUAAGCUUCUUCCUUCGCCUCCUCUCAGCGACCAAGUUUUUUGAUUGAGUCCCUUUUCCAGUCCUCCUUCGGUACUUCAAAUCAUCAUCAUCAUCAAUCUGAUCACUGCAGUCUGAUACUGAAUCAGCUUGGUUUGCCAUUUGUUUAGUACUCGAAUCCUUAUCAUCACCCAGCUGCUCCUUGUUUGCUAGAGGCUCCAUCAUUUCUCUAUGCAUGUUUUUGGAAUUGUUAGUACACACCAUCAUGGAUUUCUGCAUUGCCUCCAUCUCCUGAAAUCCACAAUCUGAGGACAUAAAGGGGUUAAUCACCUUCUCUGAAAGAAAUGAGCCAUCGGAUCCUUCAAAGAAGAUAUCAUUCUUGACGCUACUCUCAGAGGUGUAACUGAAUUGCUGCAAGAAGUUCAUGGGAGAGCUGCAUAGGCGGAUUCGUUCAACUGAGAUGUCAAAUGGCAGAUCAUUCAAGUUCUCCAAUGCUGUUACUGGGGAAAUUGUUGCCUGGAAAUGAUUGUUGGGAUCCUUUUCCUCAUCUGCAUUGCCUGCAUUGGCAUUAACUGAGAAGAUUGUAUCAAUAUUGCUUGAAUUCAUCAUGGCUUCCUGCUCCAUCAAGAUUAUGUUGCACUGUGUUGUGACGAAGUUUACUACGUGUUGAUCCUCAGCUACCUAUUUCAAUAAAUAAAUGAAGUUACCAAUUUCAUUUUCAUCAUGAAAAGAUCAUUUUUCUUCAAAUCAACCUGAAAAUACUAUGUUAAGAACUGAUCAGGCACAAUUUGAUGCAGCUAAUUAAUAUUUUCAACAUUAUACGAAACAUUAAUAGUACUUGAUUAGCAACAAACAGUUCAAUUAGUCCUCCCAGCACUGGAAUCAAGAGCCUGGUCCCAACUGUUUCCUGCAAAAACCCAAGUGGAAAAUCAUUAUCUCGAUUGGGGAUAUGGCCUAGUUUAAAUAGGAAUUUGGAAUACUACUCACUUCGAGAACGCUUGAAUCUGAACUAUUACAGAAGUUGAGCCAUCUGGGUUGGUUUGAAAUCAAGGUCUGUCCAUGAAUGCUGCUUAUAAGCAUCUAUGUCAGGUGAAGUUUUAACUGUAUGUCAUUUAAGGCGAAAAGGCUGAAAAAAAGGGAGAUACCCAGAAUCUAGGGAAAUAGAAGAAGGCAAUUGGGCAAGAAGAUCACAAGAUUUGGUUCUUGGAUGCUGCAACAUGGCAUCCCUGCAAGGAAGUACACUGGAAACAGGAAAAAGAAUCUCCUCUUCACCAUUUUGAGUACUGUUUUCGCUUCCAGCACAGCAACAAUCCAUCCAGUCCAGAAACCUAAAACAAAACCGAAUUAUGAAUCAUGAGCUGAUCACAAAUAGCACAAGACAUAGAUUGAAGCUUUUCACUCAACCUUUGAUCUUCACUUAGUUUCCAAAGAACACAGUAGUCCCAGCUUUUCAAUCCCACAAGAGGCCUCAGCCUCUCCUUGAGGCUCUGCACCAUGUUGACCAUUUCUCCUGUAAUUAACAUCAUGCCCACUUCAAAAAACCUGCAUUAAACACAAUUCCAUGACAAACUAUCCAUUGCCAAAAAGUUUAAGCUACCAGAUAACUAGACAAAAAUGAAUAUUAAGCUUGAAUAAUCCUUGGGACUAAGAAAAAACAAAAGAAGAAAGCAAUGAAAAGGAGAAGAAACAAAAGCGAAUAUCCAUACAAACUUGGAUUACUUGAUAGCAAUAGGUAACUGCAACAUCAUCCAAGAGACAGCACCCACUUCAUCCAAGAAAACCCCAUCUCAGCAAAUGGGCUGAGAGAGGUAAAAGCAAAAGCUCAAAUUCUUCGUUAGUCUAAAAUCUUUGGUUUUAUAUUUGGGGUUUUGGCUUUUACUUUGGUAGGUGAAGUGUAGUGCAUGCAUGAGAGAGAGGGUGAGAGUUUUGUAAAGAAGAUAAGAAAAAACGGAAUAUAAAAAGGAUAUAUGAGAAGUAAUGAUGGAAGGGCGUAUCGUGUGAGCUAAGAAGGCGUACAAAAGCCUAACUAAUUCGGUUAUAUAUUCUUUCGUCUCUCAACUACUCUCCUACUUUGAAUCAUAUUGAAAACUACUCUAAAAGAAUCUUCUUCAAUUGGAUAUGUCUUCCAAUGUAAAUAAGCAAAAUAUUCUAAAUUAUCAAAGUUCUAAGAUAAUUGUAGUAUCACGUAUUUAUAUUUUGGAAAAAAAAAAAAACGAAGUUACCAAAGAGGUACUUAUUCAAUUCCUCGUAUUCAUAAUUGAAAAUGCACAAAAAGAAAAAAAAUCUAACUCGUUUGGAUGAAGCUAUAAAUAAUAUGAUUAAAGUAUAAAAAAUAAGACUAAAACAUAAAUGAAAUGAAAUCAAGUUACAAAGCAGUUAGUAUAAAGUAAUUAGGCCUAAAUGCAUACGUAAUAUAACUUAAUUAGUCACACUUUUCUGAAGGUACCUCUCAAGCAAUCUAAUCAAAUCUUUAUAUCUUUAGUACCUUGAUUGUGUUAUCAUAUUUUCACUUACACUAGAGGUGUAAUUUGAUUGAAUUAACCUAACUCAACAUGAAGUUUGGAUGAAUUUGAGCAAUCAUCUUUUAAUACUCGAGUUGAGUUUGGGUUAAGUUUUUUUAACCCGAACUGAAGUUGGAUUUGGAUCAAAAUUUAAACAACCUAAGCCUAACCUGAAUUUGAUUUAAUAUUUUUAUAAUAUUACAAAAAGCUUUUUCACUAGUAGCCAUAUUCAAAUCCAUCAAAGCGUUCCUAUCUAUUGUGGUGCAUCUCAUUUAUGAGAUACAACAAUUAGAUAUCGAGAUAACAUUCUUGAAAGGUCAUCUUAAUGUUAGUAUCUAUAUGAUGCAACCAGAUAUUUUCAUAAUAAAGGGUUUUGUUUGUACAAGAAGACAUAGUGAAAGCAUAGUGGUGCUUUAAGAUCUUGUAGGUAGAUGACAAUCUACUCAUUGGGAAUAAUAUAGAGACAUUGUCACUAGUCAAAAUUUGUUGUCUACUUAGUUCUAUAUGAAAAUCUAGUAGGCACAAUAAAUUCUUGGGAUUAAGGUCCUUAUAGAUGCAAGAUUAUGAAAAUUUUGUUAUGCUAUAUCAUCUACAUUAACAAGCAUUUGUUCAAGUGCAUGAUGCAAGAUAAAAAGGGUUGCUCCAUUUUGGUUUAGAGUUAUCUUUCUCAGAUUAAUUAGUAUCAUUGGACAUUUAAGGAGAUAAUACCUUAUUGGCACAAUUUAUGAGAGUUGAAUUAACUCUUAGUUCAUUUAUAUGCAUAUAAGGAUGUUUUGAUAAUUACAAAAGAUUGUAUAGGGAUUAGUAAACAAUAUUUUUGAAUUGAGCUAAUUAAUUAAUUAGAAGAUCAUGUAGAGUUAAUUAAUCAAUUAAAAUCUUAUUUGGGCUAGAUUAAGUGAUCUAAGCCUAUGAUGGACUCAAGUCACUUAAACCCAGUUAGGAACCCUAUAAAAUACCCCCUUAAGGCUAAUGGUUUCUAUACUUUAGUCUUCCAUCAUCUAAUGAGAGAAAAUCCUAGCCUCCACCCUCCCAAACCUCUCAUCGUUUGUGUGCUAAAGAAAAAAGGAGAGCCAUCGGGUAGGAGAUCUUAGGUUCACAAAACUUCCAAUGGCUAUAAGAUUGAUCUUCAUCGAAAGGAAUUGAUUUGGGAAUAUCCAAAUUAGAGGUAUUGUUUUCUAAAGCACUAUUAUAUAUCUUUUUAAUGUUAAAAAUGGUCUUUAAUUUUUGCUUUUGUUGCAUAAUAUCUAAAUGCCUCAGGUAGUUUUUAUGCGCCUAACUUGAUCAUAGGAUAAAAAAUAGAGUGAUUCGGGAUUCCUUUCAAUCUUAAAGACACGUGAUCAGGAAAUUUAUGAUCGUUAUAAUUCCUUAACUGGAAUUUGACAUAUGCUCUUAGAGAGUUAAAGUAUGUCAAGUGAUUAUAUUAUAGAAGGAUUUGAGACUCAAAGAUUUGAGAGGUUGAUAGCAUCUACCUCAUUAGAUUACAAACACCAAUUCAUAGGAACUCUGCAUGCAAUGAAUAGUAGGUCAUAAACACAAGUUUACAUCUCAUUUUAAUAUCAUAAGAUAUUGGAGUACAAUUGGCUCUCUAUAAUAGGAUGUUGAUUCAACUUCAGAAUUAGAUUUUGAGUUAGUAUUUUCUUAUAGGUCUCAAUAGUACUUCAUGCUCAUAUUCCUUGGUGGUACAUUUAUCGAGGGAUAUUUAGGUUCCUUAUUCAUAUAUAUAUAUAUAUAUAUAUAUAUGCAUAAAGAUGUUUUCGUAAAAACACAAGGUUGCUUUAGAGUCUAUGAAUGGUCUUUUUUUUAUUAUGCUAAUUAAUUAAUUAAGACCAAAUGGGAUAGAUUAAGUGACCUAAACCAUAGAUGAGUGUGGACCCGUAUUUUUCAUCUGUGUUCCUAGUUAAUGGUGAGACUUGCUUUUUAUUAGUGAAAAUUUGAUUUUUGAAAAAGUUAGUCUCCACUUAUUUUAGUUUAUUUUUAAAAAGAAAAUAAAGUAAGAAAGAAAACUUUGUGUAAUUCCUUAUUUGAAAAAAUGACAAGUUUGUAAACCAAAAAUGGAUUUAGGAAUUAAGUUGCCUAUUGGGAAAGUAUGGUAAUAAGUUAUAGCAGCCCUUUAACCUUGUAUAUCUAUGGUCUCUACUAGACAAAUGAAGAAAAUUAUGACAAUUGAUUAAUUAAACAUGAAUAUUGAAAAAAAAAACACAAUACAAGCAAACAUACAACAUGACAUUAGCUAAAAAAUAAAUUACAAGAAUAUAAAAAACUGAUAUAAGCUAAAAGCACAAAAUGAUUUAUUAGAAAAUAUGUUUAUUAUUCCAAAUGUCAUAACACAAUUUUAAAGAAAAUUCAAUUGUUUAUUUACAAAUAAAGUUCAGUUUAUUAACAAAUGAUUUGAUUUAUUUAUUCAAAUUGAAAGAGGUGUUUUUUUAUUUAUUUAUUUAUUUAUUUAUUAGAAGAGUUUAUUGAAUAAAAUUUCAUUUAAAGAGAAAAGUUUGAAUUUGAUUUUAUUUAUAAAAAAAAUGAUUUUUAUUUAUUUUUACUAGAAAAAGAAUGAAUUUUUAUGAUUCUAUUUUCAAGGAAUUCAAUUCAAUUUUUGUUUAAAGACUUUUUUUUUUUACAAAUAAUUAAAAGAAAGUGAUUUUUACAAAAUCAUUUAUAGAAAGAAAAUUCUAAUUUGAUUUUAUUUACAAAGAAAUUGAUUUUUAUUAGUGAUUUUAAAAAGCAUCAAUUUGAUUCUUAUUUUGGGAAAAAAAUUAUGAGGAAAAAGGUUUUAACCAAUUUAUUAAAAAAGAGAAAUUUCAAUUCAAAUUUUAUUUAAGAACAAGUGGCUUUCCUACAAAGUAUUAAAAAAAACUUAACAAAUUUAUUAAAAAGUAAUCUUUUUCUAAAUUUAUUUAGAAAAAGAAUUUCACAAAUUUAUUUAUUUUUCUUUAUUUACAACAAGAGAUUCCAUUAAGAAAUAUUUUUUCUUUUUACAAAUCCUAUUUACAAAAAUGAUUUCACAAUCCAAUUUUUAUUAAAGAUUUUUUUAAAUACAACUUUCAUUUCCAAUCCAAUUUUUGUUUCAGAAAAGAUUUUAUUUCAACUUUUAUUUUCAAUCAAAUUUUUAUUUUAAUAUUUUUUUACCAAUUUACUCAAAAAGGAAUUUUACAAAUUUAUUUCAAGUCCAAUUUUAUUAAGAAAGAAAUUUUGAAUUUUAUCUAUAAAAAAAUUGUUUACCAAUUUAAUAAAAAAUGUAUUUCAAUUUAAUUUUUAUUCAAAAUGUUUUUACAAAUUUUAUUUCUGAAAUUAUUUACAACUCAAAUUUUUUAUUUAAAAAGAGAUUUUUAUUUGAAAAGAAAGAUCUUGACAUUUUUACAAUUUUAUUGAAAGAAACUUUGUAGUUUUUUGUUUUUUAAAGCAUUUCUAGUUUCUAUUUGGAAAAUGAUUUUACAAAUUUAUUUUCAUAAAGUGAUUUUAUAGUUUUUAUUUGGAAAAAGUGAUUUUACAAAUCUUAUUUGAAGAAGUGACUUUGCAAUUUUAUACAAAAACUAUAAGAAUUUUGUAGAAAAGUCACUUAAUUAAAAAGAAAAAGAUUUGAAGUCUUUUUUUACUUUAAAAAAAAUUAGAUUUAUAAAUUUGAUAUUUGAAAAUACAAUGGAAUGAAAUGGAAAGAAACUUCACAAUAAACAUAUGGGAGAAUAUGAAUAAAUUAGAUAAAAUAAUAAAAAGACUAAAGAUAAACAUCAAAACUAAAAUAUAACAAACAUAUAUAUGAGAAAAAAAAAAGUACUUAAAAAAAAUAUACUGUAAACAAAUAUUCCUAAAGAUAAAUAAAAAGAAAUAAAUAAACAAGUAAGGGAAUAUACCCAAUAUUAUGCAGUGAAAGAACAAUAAAACAAAAAAAAAAUAGAGAGUAGUACUCUCCAAGCCAUCCCCAUUGCUUAAACCCUUAGGGUUCUUCACUUCAUAUAACCUCCCAUGGGAAAAUCCAACCCUCCAUGUGUUUAGCAUUCAGGCUUAGCCAAAGAAAUCUAAGAAAUAGGCUCAUGCAUAGAAAAUAAGAAUAGCAUAAAUAAAUAAAUAAGUCUGACACUAAUAACAAACUAUCAUCAAAUUAGUUCAAUAAAUUUCAUCAAUAAAAAUAGGUUCAAAUGAAUAAAUGAAACUUAAUGAAAAUAUCCAACAUACCAUAGUCCCAAAUCCAAAAUUCCAAUUAAUAACCAAUACAACGUAUCUACAAUCCUAAGUUCAAUAUUCAUAAAUAAUGCACUAUGAAGAUCAAGAAAUAAUAAUAAAUAAAAUAAAUAAAAAUAAGGAAAUGAGGACUUAUCUUGAAACCCAAAUAAAGAAAAAAUGGUGGUAGUGGACUUGAAAAGGGUGGUGUCAUGUGAUGAUAGUCAUGGAAGCAUGUGGUGUGGUUAACGGAUAAGAGAAUGAGAAACAAAGAAAACAGGUGUAGAAGAAAUAGGAAAUGAAAGAGAGAAAGAUAGAGAAACAGAGAAAAAAAAAAGAUGAGAAGGGAAGAGAAGUGUCAUCGAUCAAAGAGGCUCGUCGGUGGUGAUUAGUAGCCGAGAUAGUCACUGGUAGGAAGGCACAGUGAAGGUAGGGUGGUGAAGAAUGGUAGCAAUACAAAAUGGGAAAGAAAAGAAAUAAGAGAGAGAAAGAGAAUACAUAGUGAAAUGAGAAAGAGUGAGAUGAGAUGAAAAAGAGGACUGUUGGUCAACAUCGUAGAACUGCUAGUGAUGCUACCAACAUCAAAGUAGUGGCUGGCCAUGGAGGUGGUGGUGGGUGUGGAGAAAGAAAAAGGAAAAGAAAUGAAAGAAGAGAAAGGAAAAGGAAAAAGGAGGAGAAAUCCCAAUGGGAGUAGGCAACUGAAGAUGGAAAGAAUGUGUGGUCUUUAGGGUUUUAGAUGAAUGAAUGGUGUAAAUGAAGGGGAAAAUGAAUGAUCAAGAUGGGUUCUUCUAAAAUGGGUAUAAAAUUUGGUAGUCUACAAUGGACUCAAGUCACUUAAACCCACAAGGAAACCUAUAUAAACCUCUUUUAAGGUUUUAAGGCUUGAGACACUCUUGACAUUCAGUUUUUCAAAGAGGAACCCUAGUCUCCACCCCUUCAAAAGGGGAUUCCACCUUCUUACAUGUUAAGAUUCAGGAAAAAAAUAUUAUUGAGUUGAAAGCUUAUUGGCUUUUUACACCCGUUACACUUCUUUGUAGAUUGGAAACAAUUUAGGAACAUUCAUAUCAUAAUUAUUGCAUCUAAACUCCAAAACUAAAGUUUUUAAUAUUAACGUUUACCACUCUAUAUUGAUUUGGCUCAAGGUAUAUAUAACAAUGAUAAAACCUUACAUAAAUAGAAUUUAAGAAUCACUAGGAAUCCAUGAUAUCAAAGAAUAGACAAUUGUAUCAUCCUCCAAGCUAAAAUUAGAGGGCAUUUACUUUUCAUACCAAUUCCUUAGCCCCUACUUUAUUUCAUUAUUGAGUUUAACUAUUCCCAUUAAAUCCUACUUUAGCUUUUCAUAUUUCAUAUCCCAAGAAAGCCUUUUAACCUCUCAUAGGUGUGUUGUCACCUACACAAUCCAUUAAAGAAAGAUAAAGAGUUAUUCUUGAAAAUUAAAGAAUUCAAAAGCAAUAUAUUGAUUGAUAAUAAUUGAGAAAGAAAUACCAAGCAAGAUCCUUUUCUAUCUUAUUCUUUAAAAAAAAAAAAAAAAACUCUAAACUCUUCAAAAAAAAAAAAACUAAAAAUUUGAGUUUUUAUAGUUUGGGUAAGAACCUUACAUGUGGCAUGUUCCUAUUGGUCACUUAUUUUCCAAAAAGUGCUUAAAAAUAACUAAAAACUAAUAAAAAUCUAACUUUAGAAUGUCUGGGCCCCAUUUUGGAUUGGAGAAGUGUCAAAAUGUUUCAUAUUGAGAAUUCACAAGUAAUGUGGAAUUGGAGUAACUAAAGUCGAAAUCAAUUUUAACAUGUAUUUCAACUUGGUAAGUUAGGAAUUUUGACAUGGUAAUGUGCAUUUCAACCUCUAUUUUGAUAUGAACUUCUCAUGUCAAAAUUUUCAUUCCAACAAAAACAUCGUCAAAAUGGCUAUCCAAUUUUAACAUGAGGUUCUGUUUCUGUAUUGCUUAUUCAAGUGGCUAUAACUUCUUCAUUUUAUCUCCAAUUCAUGCACUAUUUGAGGCAUUAGAUUUUUGAAUUCUCAAGCUUCAAAUUGAUAUGUGUCCUGCUUGAAAUGAUCUUAAUGAAUCCUUCAAGAUUCACGUCAAAGUGAAAGUAUAUGCAACUAUGAGGCGAUCUUAAACUCUAAUUCCUAUAUUAAACUUCAAGUUUUAUAGCCUUUAGCUUUUCUUUUUGUGUCUCAUUAACCUUUAUAAACUUGUUUCUCAUAUCUCAUCCUUUCUCCAUUUUUAGUUGUCAAAGCUCUCAUUAUGUUUCUAUUAGGAUUGAGCCUUAGAAAGCAUGACAUAAUAUAUGAUUACUACUCAAAAAGUGCUAUUUCAUAGCUUGUAAUGAACUCUUUUGAGUAUUAGUUAACACCUUUUAACCCAAUUAACAUAUUAAGGACCCUUGCAAUCAAUUCUAAUCAAAUUGUGUUAAGUUUUGGUGUUUUGAUAGCUUUUUUAUCACCAAAGCAAUCAGAGAUUGAGGAGAGUUCUUUGGAAUGCAAGAAGUAAAAGAUGUUCGGACACACCAUCGGAUGGCGGCGGAAGUCAAUGAUCCGGACAACAUAUCCGGAUAGGAUAUGCUAUCGUCCGGGUGUGAUGUUCACGAGUGUCGUGUGCCUCUUCCUGAGGGAGUCCGGAUAGGGGGAGCGCGCCACAUGUCCUCUUGGGGAAUCCGGAUGGAGUUGAUCCGGAUAGCCUUGCGCGCUCCGUGUCAUCCAGGAGAGGGGUCCCUACACCUUGCACACGCAGAUGGUCCCCCUUGCGCAGCAUAGCUCAGUCCACCCGGGGAAGAAUUCCGUGCGCCAACAUUUCAUAUCCGGAAUUCCGUGCGCCGACAUUUUACAUCCGGAUAUCUCACAACCGGAUGGGAGAGGAGGACGUUUCAACUUCUCUAGUCAGACAUAUCCGGAUCCUCUGAUAGCGCUUACCAGGAGAGUUUUUCUCUCAGUAUGUAGUACUGCGGUGUUCUCCUGAAGCUUCCUGAUAUUUCUGACCGACAUCUUGAGAUAUUUCCGACCGACAUCUUGAGAUAUUUUGUUUUAGAUAUUUGUUGUCUAAAUCCCCAAACUCUCCUUGUAAUCCACCUAUCAUAGGAUUCCUUAGUCUUUAAGUAAGUACAAAGGGUGAAUAACCUCAUAUAUAUAGUUUGUAAUUUUCUUUACAAAGGGAUCGAUCAUGUAAUUAGUGAAAGGAAGAAAUAUAAUUCACAGAGCACUUGCUCUGUUUUUCCUUCAUAUAAUUGUUUUCUCGUUAGUUUUCUUACUAGCCAAACAAGCUUUGAGGAAGUUUCCUCAGAGAAUGAGUGGCUAGACUUUUAGUUCCUUGGAGUUAAGGUUGCCGGGAAAGGUUCCAAGUGCAUGAAUUAGUAGCUUUGUGGUUUCAGUCAUUAAUGAAGAGAAAGUGUGAUCCUUAAAUGAUUUCUAUGUUUUUAGUUAACAUAAAACACCUUCAAGUCACUUGAGCCAACACUUGGUAAGGCACGUGAUCUCCGUCCAUGAAGAUGCACUUGUUUAUCUCUUGCAAGCUUUUGGGAAGUGACUUGGAGGUAGGAUUUUCUAGAAUUGCCAACACUUGGUAAGCUUUUGGAUUACAAUGAGACAUCCAUUAGUUAUCUCUUGCGAGCUUGAGAAAGGAAGUCCAAAGUUAAAGAUCACCUUGAAUGGCAAAUGCUAGGUGAGAGGCACGAGCCAUUACAAGUUGCAUCAGUGAGAGAGAAUUAGAGUUGAAAUCCAUUUAAAGGUUACAUCUGUACAACACCGGUUAGAGAAUUGACUAUAUGUUAAUUCUCUAAUGCGAGGAAAUGAACCAAAUGACCAGAGCUCUGUUUUUGCAUAAGGAACCUUCCCUGUGAACCUAAACCUCCAAGGAAUGUUUUUCUUCAUAAGUAAUUUCCAUUACUUUCUUUUUGGUUAGUUUAAGACCAAACCCUUUUCACUCAAACAUCUUUAUGUUUUCUUUUAAAGCUAACCUUGAAAUGAAAAAGUACCAACUCAGCUUUGAAUUGGUAUCAGUGGAGAGUUGAAAACCCUUCCCAGUGAAUGCUCCUAGAGCCACUAUACUAUAUUAGCUAAAGCUAUCCUAAUGCAUGGUGAUAUAGGUUAUAAAUUUUGUUGAUCACUUCCUCAGUCAAGGAGCACCAGCUGGACAUGAAUCAGCUGAGACACCAAUUGGGAACGAAUCAAUAUAACAGAGUAAUAUUCAUUUAUAUUUAUUGAUAUAUAUUUCUUGGUUUCCCUUUAUUAUCUCAUAUGUGUUAAUUGAUUAUUUAAGCAUACACGCCCUACAUCACUUACAUUGUACAUGAUUUGGGUGCAUUAAAAGUUUCAUAGAAGAUCUAGGUCAUGGGUUUUUUUUAGGAUGAUGAGUUGUCUAUAGUUGGUUCAUGAAUUUAGGCAAUCAAUUUAAGAUUAUAAUGCACUACCUCCUGAUUGAAGGGAUGACUUAUCUUAGUCAUCGAGAUGGUUUUUUCAUGGUGAACACAAUAAUAUAUGUGAUGCACAUUGAAUAAGACUUAUAAUGAAUCAUGAUUCAAGGCUAUCUUGAUAGGUGAUAACACUCUCUUCUUAGAUUAUGGAUAUUAGUUCAUGGGGAGUCUGCAUGGAAUAAAUAUUAAGACACAAACCCAAGCUUUCGUUUUAUUGUAAUAACAUAGGAUACUAAAGUGCAAUUAAUUUUCUUUAGUGGAAUGUUAAAUCAACUUCAGAAUUGGAUUUUGAGGAAGCCAAUAUUUUUUUAUGGAUCCCAAUAGUUCUCACUCGAACUUCUAAAUCAAGGAAACACAUUUGUUUUAAGGAUAUUAGGUUUUAGGGUUCAUAAGUGUGCAUAAGAGUGUUUUGGUAAAAAUACAAGUUGCACUAGAUCAUAGAAAUUAACUUUUUGGCAUAGGUUAAUUAACUAAUUGGAGCCCAAUAGGGCUAAUUAAUUAAUUAGGAUCCAAGUGGGCUAGAUUAGGUUGUCCAAGCCUAAUUGAACUUAAGUUACUUAAGCCCACUAAGAGUCCUAAUACCCCUAAGGGUUUCCUACACUCUUUUACUGUCUUUUUCCAAAGAGCCUCCAUAGAGAUUGAGAAACCCUACUUUUCAUCUAAGAGAGAAAAGUCCACUAUUUUCUUGUGCCUAGAGUGUUUUAAGGAGAGAUCAUUGGAAGGCUAAUAGGUAGACAACAUCUCCUACGAAUUCAGACUUGUUCUUCACCGCAUAAAUUAGAUUUGGGAACAUCUAGAUCUAGGUAUGGUUUCUUUUUUCUAGAUUAUUAUUUUAUUUGAUUUUUUUUUACCAUUGUUUCUACUAGAAUAGUUUCUAGAGAAGCCUAGGGUAGAUUACUUGCUCUCUAUUCGAUCCAGGGUAAGGAAACGAAUAAAUUCAGAGUUCUCAUCAGUUUCACAUUCUUAGAGCUUCUUCUAAACAUAUUUGGCAUCUUUUCUACCAUGAAUGACUACUCUUGCAACUUGUAUCUUUAAACCUAAGAUUUAACUAAAGAUGUAUCUUAGAUAGACAAAGUUUUUAUCAAUAAUUCAAAUUAAGUUGAGUGAGUUGAGCCUUUAUAUUGCAUAACUAAUUCUCAAUAUGUGCCAUUAAAACACAAUUUGUGGCUCUAAUUAACUAGGAAGCAUCUAUUGGAGUAAAUUGACAAUAAAUUGAUAGAAUCAAGAAAUUUUGAUAUGGAAAGUGGAAGUGAAAGAGAAAAUUCAUUUCAACAUCAAAUCAACAAUAGAGGACAAACCAAUAUCAUUUUCUAUGUCAAACUCCUUUAUGUCCCUUUUAGUAUUGCAUUCUCAAUCUAUUACCCUCGGAUAUUUGGAGAUUAACAUCCGAUGUUGAAAUUUCAAUAGAGAAUCGAUUCUAAAGUUGAUUUCAACCCAAUGUCAACUUAUUAUGACUUGUUUCCUUCUUUAAAAUUGCUUCUUCAUGAUUUUUUUUUUGUCAGUUUUAUAUUAUAUUUAGACUGUUCCUUGUAGGAUUAGGGUUAGGAUUUAUUUAUAUAUUUUAUGAUUAUUAAUAGGGAUAUAAAUGGGUUAAAGGAGGAUAACCUUUAAAACUUUAGUAUAUUUUAAACAAUUUUAUAAUGAAGGAAUAAGCCAAUCUUGGGUGCCAUGAUAUCAAUCCUUUCCUUAUCAUGGUAUAGAACUUUGGCAAGUAUUAGGUUGUUUCUAUCAAGCUUUAACUAAUGAACCUUAUCAAACUUUAGACAUAAUAUGUGAAGAGAGAAUUGUAAAGAUGGAAUCAACAUUGGCCAUGUACUUGUUGGAUUAUCUUACAUCAUGUACUAUAAAUCUUGAUCUUAUUUCUAAAAAAAACGAUAUGAGUUUGUGAAUGAAAAUGUUAACCCUAGCUAGAAGGGAGACACUCAAUCUCCUUCUAUUGCAUCAUCAAAUUCUCUUACUAUAUGAGGGUUCCACAUGAUCAACAACCCUUAGAAAAUGUGCAUAGUGAAUACGUACAUAUAGACCCAAUUAGAGGUAAUAGUCAACUUGGAAGCAACCGGUGUUGAGAUGGAAAUUAUCAAUGUCAGACCAAGUGAAUUUACUAACCAAGUAACUCAAGUUUUGGCUGAAUUUGCGCUUGAGACAAAUACCUUUUUCUAUCAUUGAAUACAAUCAGAAAAGUGUUGAAUGAAACUUAAGCUUAAUUAUCUAAAAAUAUUGAUGAGUUUGAUGUUAUGGGCCUUGUCACUAUUGCACAGGAUUUUGAACUUGAAAUUUUUUCUGAAAAUGUGCAAGAGUUCAUUUACAAAUAACUCACUAAUAUUGGGAGGGGUGAUACUAAUCAUCAAAUACACCAUGAGCAUACUAAUAAUUCUUCUUAUGAGUAUAAUGUUCACACACAAAACCAAUAUUUUUUCAUAUAUAAAAGAAGGUUUUUAUAGAAAAAUUGAAUGCAAAUCAUUACCUUUUAAUUUAAAUGUAUGCUAAGUCCCAAAUUACUUACCCAAACAUAAACUAAGUUCUCACUUAUGACCCAUGUAACAAGCUACACCAAGUAAGAAGGAUAGAACAAUUAGCUCAUAUGGAGGGCUCUCUAAUUUAAAAGACUACAAAUUGUCUAGGAUUCAAAGAAUGAUUAUAUUUAUUAUUGUAGUGGAAGGUAAUAAAAAAAGUCUUGAUAGUGGUUCCACUACUAAUAUAUCUACUGGUUUGAUCCUAAAUAUAUUUAUUUAGUGAAGAAUGUUGAAAAUAAAAAAUAAAAAUCGGAGGACCCAAGGGCAAUGGAAGUAAGGUGAAGGAGUUGAAAAUGCAUGAGAGUGCACAAGAACAUGAAAAGACAAGAAAAAUGUCAAAUUGAUACCCUAGAAUGCAAAUUGAUACCACGUUGAUUCCGACAUCAUAUAUUUAAUUUGACAAGAUACAAUAUGAGUGGAUGUAAAACAAUAUCUAUGCCAACAUAGAAAGAUAUUACACUUAGCAAAUCACCAAGUCCAAAUAAUAAAGAUGAAAUUAAGUAAAUGAAAAAUAUUCGUUAUGUGCAAGUAGUUGAAAGUCUAAUUAUACAAUGACUAGUACUAGGUCGGAUAUAUGUUGUAUCAUGGUAUUAGUUAGCAUAUACUAAACUAAUCUUAGCGAAGAGCAUUGGCCAGCUAUUAAAAGAGUAUUAAGAUAUAUUUAAGGUACUAAGAAAAAUAAACUAUGUUUUACAUAAGGUGAUUAAAAAAAUUAUGGGUAUUCGUAUGCAAAUUUUACCAGGGACCAUGAUGACUAAAAAUCUACUAGUGGUCAUACACUUUUAUUUAGAGGAGGUGCAACAUCAUGGUUAAGUAAAAAAGCAAACUUAUGUUGCUAGGCAUACAAUAGAAGCUAAAUAUGUAGCUUAUAGCUAGUAUGGCAACCACCCAAGCCUUUUGGAUUAAGCACUUAGCUGACAAUUUGAUAGUUAAGAAAUCAAGAGUUUAAGGUCAAAAUAGUAUUUUUGAAGAAAAAUAGCCAAAGUAGAUAUUCUCCCGAAAUAUUUGUCAAUCUAAUCUUUGCUAUCACAUGUUCAUUCAUGUAACUUUUUUUUUUUUUUUUGAGUAUAUAAAACCACAAUUGGUCAUUGUGAUUUUAGUUUUAAAUUUAAAAUCACAGUUACUAACUGUAAUUUUUAAAACAACAUACCACUUUAACAAAUAUUUUCAAUAUGAGAUUGAUAAUUUUUUUAAAAAAGAAAAACUACUUUGACCGAAAACUCAAGAAAACAAUUGAGCUUGUGAAUUUGCUGUGUGAUCAUAUGACUACAAUAUAUCAUUUAUUUGACACAUCAAGUUCAAAAGUGAAACACAUUCAUGUGAGUUGAUAGAUUGGAUUGAUUGGAUUAUAGUUUUCCAUAUAAUUGAAAAGUUGUAAAUCUUUGUUAAAGAUUCCAACUUUUUAAAAAGGGAUGCAAUAGUUGAUUGUCAAAAGAUAUUUAUCUAAAUAUUUAUCUAAUUAAAUAAGUGUCUUUUCAAUGGCUAUGUGUUAAAAUUGAAACAUUGUGAUUGAAUAGAUAUGAGAAUAUAUUUGAAAAAGCAUAACUUUUAGUAUUAAUAGAUACAUGUAAGUCAAAUUUGUAGUUCUCUCAUUCAUAUCUAUAAUAGGUUUCUAUUGAUUUUGUAAGAGUCAUACUUCGUUUUCUUCUAUUUUUUUCCCCUUCUUUGACAAUGUCUACACAAUAGCCUCCCACCAAUAGUCCAUCCAAGAUAUAACAUCAGAAAAACUUUCUUGACAAAUUGGGCAGAUCAAGAAAACAACAGUAACUAUUGCAGCAGAAGCUUACAAAUUAUAAAUAGGAUCAACACAAUUUUAGGAAGAAGGCAUUUGGUAGUUGCUAUUCUAUUAAAGCCACUUCUGAUGAAUAAAAGCAGUUGAAAGUUGGUGUAUCAUUUUUGUUGGAUGUCAUCACAUAUGGUGAUUGUGGUAAAUGAUGAAAUAGUCAAUGUUUUCAUAAUUCAAUCAUUGGCAUUGAACUAAAAAAGUUAUUAAUUUAUAAUUUAUAAAUUUGAUAAGUAGUGAAAUCAUGAUGUUAACAUGAUACCAUAAAUAUAUAAUUUAUAUUUUAUUAAAAUUUAAAAUAUAUAAAUUAUUGAAAACUUUAAUAAUAUUCAUUUUUUCUUUGACAUUAUUCAAUUAAAUUAUGAUAAAAAUAAAUAUAAAUGUAUUGAUAUUUUAAAUUUUAUUAAAUAAAACAUUUAUAAUAUUUAAGUAUAAAGAUAUUUUCAAAAUGAAAAGAAAAUACAAUUGUUUAUUGUUUUAUAAUUUUGGUUGAGGUUGGAAUCCCAUUGCUGCAAAGAAAUUAAUUAACUUCUGUAAAUUUCUCUAUCUUUUAUAACCUAUCGCUCAAGUACUAUGAUGGGUUAGUGAAUACUUAAUUUGGAGGUUUGAUUCAUUGACGAUUGAUUUAAUUAACUCUAUGUAGAACCCUUAAUCAAAUAUUGAGAUUAAUAAUGUUUUCAAUGUUUAAGAUUUGAAUUUGAAACAGUUUCGCAUUUUUAGAAAAUUGAGAUCCUAUUCCCGUUGAGAUCUGAUCUUAGGAGCAUACUUAUUCCCAUUGAAUUUCAUUUAUUUUGUGUUGAGAUUUUUGUUGAAACUAUGUUUUUAAAGUAUAGGGAUUGAAAGCUACAAUAAAGUAUCAAUGGGGUGACUGUUAUAAUUAUAUAGGAGCAUCAUCCAGGCCUGCACCAACUUACAAAUCCACAAGGGACUAUUUCUAUACUUGGUUUGCACUAGAUUGCAAAUUAGUGAGGAAUCAUCUCAUUGAAAUCAUCCCCAAGCCUACAUAAGCACAAAAAUGAAUAAGAGUCCAUCUUAGUCCCCAAUUGAUCCUUCCUGGUUCUUUUUAUGUUAAGCCCUUAGGUAAUUUCCAACCUUAUUUUGAUUUAGAAGUAAUUUUUUUUUUUUUUUUUUUGUAGCUCUUAUAUAGUUUUCCACAUAGGCCCCUAUUUUUAUUUAAAACUUUAGUAUAUUUUAAACAAUUUUAUAAUGAAGGAAUAAGCCAAUCUUGGGUGCCAUGAUAUCAAUCCUUUCCUUAUCAUGGUAUAGAACUUUGGCAAGUGUUAGGUUGUUUCUAUCAAGCUUUAACUAAUGAACCUUAUCAAACUCUAGACAUAAUAUGUGAAGAGAGAAUUGUUAAGAUGGAAUCAACAUUGGCCAUGCACUUGUUGGAUUAUCUUACAUCAUGUACUAUAAAUCUUGAUCUUAUUUCUAAAAAAAACGAUAUGAGUUUGUGAAUGAAAAUGUUAACCCUAGCUAGAAGGGAGACACUCAAUCUCCUUCUAUUGCAUCAUCAAAUUCUAUUACUAUACAAGGGUUCCACAUGAUCAACAACCCUUAGAAAAUGUGCAUAGUGAAUACGUACAUAUAGACCCAAUUAGAGGUAAUAGUCAACUUGGAAGCAACCGGUGUUGAGAUGGAAAUUAUCAAUGUCAGACCAAGUGAAUUUACUAACCAAGUAACUCAAGUUUUGGUUGAAUUUGCGCUUGAGACAAAUACCUUUUUUCUAUCAUUGAAAACAAUCAGAAAAGUCUUGAAUGAAACUUAAGCUUAAUUAUCUAAAAAUAUUGAUGAGUUUGAUGUUAUGGACCUUGUCAUUAUUGCACAAGAUUUUGAACUUGAAAAUUUUUCUGAAAAUGUGCAAGAGUUCAUUUACAAAGAACUCACUAAUAUUGGGAGGGGUGAUACUAAUCAUCAAAUAGGUACACCAUGAGCAUACUAAUAAUUCUUCUUAUGAGUAUAAUGUUCACACACAAAACCAAUGUUUUUUCAUAUAUAUAAAGAAGGUUUUUAUAGAAAAAUUGAAUGCAAAUCAUUGCCUUUUAAUUUAAAUGUAUGCCAAGUCCCAAAUUACUUACCCAAACAUAAACUAAGUUCUCACUUAUGACCCAUGUAACAAGCUACACCAAGUAAGAAGGAUAGAACAAUUAGCUCAUAUGGAGGGCUCUCUAAUUUAAAAGGCUACAAAUUGUCUAGGAUUCAAAGAAUGAUUCUAUUUAUUAUUGUAGUGGAAGGUAAUAAAAAAAGUCUUGAUAGUGGUUCCACUGCUAAUAUAUCUACUGGUUUGAUCCUAAAUAUAUUUAUUUAGUGAAGAAUGUUAAAAAUAAAAAAUAAAAAAUAAAAAUCGGAGGACCCAAGGGCAAUGGAAGUAAGGUGAAGGAGUUGAAAAUGCAUGAAAGAGUGCACAAGAACAUGAAAAGACAAGAAAAAGGUCAAAUCAUACCCUAGAAAGCAAAUUGAUACCAAGUUGAUUCAGACAUCGUAUAUUUAAUUUGACAAGAUACAAUAUGAGUGGAUGUAAAGCAAUAUCUAUACCAACAUAUAAAGAUAUUACACUUAGCAAAUCACAAAGUCCAAAUAAUAAAGAUGAAAUUAAGUAAAUGAAAAAUAUUCAUUAUGUGCAAGUAGUUGAAAGUCUAAUUAUACAAUGACUAGUACUAGGUCGGAUAUAUGUUGUAUCAUGGUAUUAGUUAGCAUAUACUAAGCUAAUCUUAGCGAAGAGCAUUGGCCAGCUAUUAAAAGAGUAUUAAGAUAUAUUUAAGGUACUAAGAAAAAUAAACUAUGUUUUACAUAAGGUGAUUAAAAAAAUUAUGGGUAUUCGUAUGCAAAUUUUACCAGAGACCAUGAUGACUAAAAAUCUACUAGUGGUCAUACACUUUUAUUUGGAGGAGGUGCAACAUUAUGGUUAAGUAAAAAAGCAAACUUAUGUUGCUAAGCAUACAAUAGAAGCUAAAUAUGUAGCUUAUAGCUAGUAUGGCAACCACCCAAGCUUUUUGGAUUAAGCGCUUAGCUGACAAUUUGAUAGUUAAGAAAUCAAGAGUUUAAGGUCAAAAUAGUCUUUUUGAAGAAAAAAUAGCCAAAGUAGAUAUUCUCCCAAAAUAUUUGUCAAUCUAAUCUUUGCUAUCACAUGUUCAUUCAUGUAACUUUUUCUUUUUUUUUUGAGUAUAUAAAACCACAAUUGGUCAUUGUAAUUUUAGUUUUAAAUUUAAAAUCACAGUUACUAACUGUAAUUUUUAAAACAACAUACCACUUUAACAAAUAUUUUCAAUAUGAGAUUAGAUUGAUAAUUUUUUUUAAAAAGAAAGACUACUUUGACCAAAAACUCAAGAAAUCAAUUGAGCCUGUGAAUUUGCUGUGUGAUCAUAUGACUACAAUAUAUCAUUUAUUUGACACAUCAAGUUCAAAAGUGAAACACAUUCAUGUGAGUUGAUAGAUUGGAUUGAUUGGAUUAUAUUUCCCAUAUAAUUGAAAAGUUGUAAAUCUUUGUUAAAGAUUCCAACUUUUAAAAAGGGAUGAGUAGUUGGUUGUCAAAAGAUACUUAUCUAAAUAUUUAUCUAAUUAAAUAAGUGUCUUUUCAAUGGCUAUGUGUUGAAAUUGAAACAUUGUGAUUGAAUAGAUACGAGAAUAUAUUUGAAAAAGCAUAACUUUUAGUAUUAAUAGAUACAUGGCUAGAUACAAGUCAAAUUUGUAGUUCUUAUAGGUUUCUAUUGAUUUUGUAAGUCAUACUUUUUUUCUUCUAUUUUUUUCCUAUCUUUGACAAUGUCUACACAAUAGCCUUCCACCGGGAGUCCAUCCAAGAUAUACCAUCAUAAAAACUUUCUUGACGAAUUGGGCAGAUCAAGAAAACAACAGUAACUAUUGCAACAUAAGCUUACAAAUUCUAAAUAGGAUCAACAUAAUUUUAGGAAGAAGGCAUUUGGUAGUUGCUAUUCUACCAAUGCCACUUCUUAUGAAUAAAAGCAGUUGAAAGUUUGUGUACCAUUUUUGUUGGAUGUCAUCACAUAUGGUGAUUGUGGUAAAUGAUGAGAUAGUCAAUGUUUUCAUAAUUCAAUCAUUGACACUAAACUAAAAAAAAAAAUUUAAUUUAUAAUUUAUAAAUUUGAUAAGUAGUGAAAUUAUGAUGUUAACAUGAUAUCAUAAAUAUAUAAUUUAUAUUUUAUUAAAAUUUAAAAUAUAUAAAUUAUUGAAAACCUUAAUAAUAUUUAUUUUUUCUUUGACAUUAUUCAAUUAAAUUAUGAUAAAAAUAAACAUAAAUGUAUUGAUAUUUUAAAUUUUAUUAGAUAAAACAUUUAUAAUAUUUAAUUAUAAAUAUAUUGUCAAAAUGAAAAGAAAAUACUAUUGUUUAUUGUUUUAUAAUUUUGGUUGAGGUUGGAAUCCCAUUGCUGCAAAGAAACUACUGUAAAUUUCUCUAACCUUUAUAACCUAUCGCUCGAGUACUAUGAUGGGUUACCAGCCCAUGAAAGGAUUUUCGCGCCCACGAGACCCAUACUUGGGCCAUGCACUAACUUCUCCAUUUGGGCUGCAAAACUUGUCCAAAUUGGCCCGCCUGGUCCCCCGUAUCCGUGUCCGGUUUGUUAGGACAACGAAUCAAAAGGGAGAAUCAGAUGGGAAAGAUGUCCAGGUGAUGGUCCAACCAGUUGAACUGGUUGCUUUAGUCCGAUUUUGAAAACAUUGGAUAAAGCAGCUGGGUAUACAAACUUGCUUUGGUUGGUUUACUUUUCUAUCUAUUUUUAGGCACAGAUGGCUAUUCUUGGGCUACAGCAUUACCCAUAUAAGAUCCAUAUUCUGAAAUGUAAUUUUCAACAUCCAUUGUAUUUAUACUUGACGGUCUUUCCUUGUUUAUUCUUCAUUGUAGUCUCAUGCUCCUCUGCAACCAGCUUUCUUGUCCACAUAAAAUGUGGUCUCUUGAUUGAAAUUACUCCACUGGUUGCUCUAAUAAGGAUGGUAGAGGCAUGAAAUAUUCUGACAAUUUCUCUUGUAGUUGGGGAGUUGACCUAAAAAGCAAGAACAUACCGCACCUGUAUAGGAAGUUCCUGAAGAGAAGAAGAAGAAGAAGAAGAAAGGAAAAUAAAAAUAAAAAUAAAAAAACAAAACAAAACAAAAACCUUGGAACGUGAACAGUUAGCCAAUUAAAAUUGCUGUAGUUGAUUAGAUGUGUCCAAAAAAAAAUAACUAACAAUUUUUUACCAAUUAUAUGAUUUAAAAGACCCUAAAUCAUAAUUAAUCUCUCCAAUUUAAAUGUUCAAGCUGUGGUAGGUGAAAAGUCAUUCCUUCUAGAGACGUCUCACCUACUACGAUAAUAAAAGCAUUUUUCAAGCAUUGCUCUGGUUCAAAAUGCGCACCAGCGUUUCCCCCUCAAGGACUGUUGCUCCAUCUUUGCUACUAGCACUGAUGAAGAUCAUGGUGACGAUGCGUCUAUUUAAGCAUGAAAAUUUAAUGGUAGGGACAUUCAAUGUUAGGUGGAGUGAAAUGGUCUUUAUAUGAUUCAAAACGGUAACGAUAGAUGUAAAUAUUUGAUCUUUCAAUGAUGCCUUCUGUUCUGUGAUGUGUAAAAUUGCCUUAUGUUCCAGUCAAGAAAGGAUUAAUUGCUUUUGCCUUGGGCAGUUAUGUCCAAUUUUUCGACCCAUCACAUGUUAGGCAACAAAUUAACUUAGCUACUAGAAGGGUGGAAAAGAAGUGACACCAGCACUGAUGGGAGUGGUUGAACUACCCUACAUCCUUGUUAUUAUCCUAAUAUACAACUUCAUCUUCCUUUUUUGGAGCCAUGGUUUUAUGGUUUUUAAUACACCCGUGGCAGGGAAAAAGCAAAUAAUCCCAGUUAGGUAUUAAUCAAUUGAUUAAGAUCAUAGCAUAUAUAUGCUACUUUUUGAGGAAAAGUGCGACAAGGGCCUGUACUGAUCAUGUCAUACAUGUAUCAUCUUUGUCGAUCGGAGACCAAAUAAGAGAGUGGCUCCAUACAUGAUCAUGCAUAUGCUUUGGACUGGCUGAAGGGCAACUCAUAUUCCGGACAUGGAAAAAAGAAUAUGAAGCAUAUAUAUGACAAUAACAGCAGGAAGAAGCCAGAAGAAGAAAGAAAUGGGCCAUUUUACGUCGCAUCCACUGAUAUGCAUUGUUUUAACGACUUCUUUUUCCACCUGCUUCAGAGCCGUCUUCUAUGAAGCGGCAUGCAAAGGUCAAAUUUCAUACUUUAAGAAUUAUUGAUCAUAUAGGAAACUGAAAGUAUGUACUUAAUUGGUGUGUAUAUGUUGAUGCAAAGAAUGAAAUCCUAAUUCGAAUGUAUUCCGUCCUCAUUUAUUAUGCUUGCCACCUAUUCAGGGGGAAGUUGUGUUUUGGUCUGAGUGUGCAUGAUUGCUUGGCACAUGCCUACCGGCUGGCGUGAAUGAUUGUUCGGGUCUGCACAUGUCUAUCAAUUUCUUGCUUCCGAAUCAUUCCUCUUGUGGGACUUUUUUUGCCUUCCUGGAUCAACGUCACUGCCAAAUAUAUGCUGACCACAUGUGUCUUUGUGUUCUUUAUAGAUUGCUUAUGGCUUCUCUAAAGAGAUAUCAUCCUCAGAGAUCAAGUUUAUCACUCAAUUUACCACAUGAUUUCACCCGUAUCCACAGCCAUAAUUGCUUGGUAAGCUUACGUACAUGAUAAAGAUGACAAUGAUACCUCUGGAUAAUGCCAUUUAAAUUCCAUGUGCGACCUCCAUGCGCCAAGCCAUUGCUUUGUGGCAACACAAACGCAUGAUCAAGGGCUACCGUGCAAUCAUAUAUUGUUCUGCUGUCCUCUUUAUGGCAUUUGGAUUUUGAAUCCUAACCAUUAUUUACACAAUAAAAAUGAUAAACCCUAGAGUCAAUUUUUCAUGUUUCUUUAUUUCUGCAAUAAAAGUAAGCUCUGAUGUGAGAUAUCAUCCCAUCUGUGGAAUCAGAAGUAGAGCAACAGUUUCAUGUAAAUAGAAUGGAUCAACAAACUUUUCUUUCAUGCCCACACUCUCUGUGUACAAGAUGGAAAUCUGUCCCACAACACAAGUAGUGGGCGAAAUUCAUUAAAGUUUUGGCAGCUCAUGAUGGAAAAGGAACCGUACAUAAAUUGAUUUGGUUGACCCAUUAAUUAAGCAUAUCUCAUCAAUAAAGACAGGUAAUAUGGAUCUGAAUUUCUAUUAAAAGAAAACGCAUCUUACCUCCAAUGCACCGAAAUAAUGUGUCUGAUAAGAUCCUUGAUUUCCAUCUAAUGGCACUCUUUUUCAUUAGACGGUUUUCUGAAAAAGUAAGGCUAUGGUGAACUGAGUAGUGAUGAUCCCAGUGCAGGAAGCAAUUUUGCAGGAAAAUAUUUUAUAGCAUAACAAAUUAAUAUGGAGCUUCCUCACAGUGGAGUAUUAAUUUAUCUAUCUAGUAAAUGGAGAAACAAAUUAUUGUGGUACCAUGAAACUGGUUCCGUCUACUUUUCUCCUUUGAAGGCUGAAUGAAUUCCUGACUUUGUGAAUGUAGAUGUAUACUUGAACUUAGGAGUCCUUAAUGAGAAACAAGAGGAUAAUUUUGACCAGUCAUUGCAUAGCGAUCUGGAAAGCUGUGAUUAUGCCCAGAAAUUGCCCCCUUCGUCUCUCUCACACACUCGCGGAGAUGCUCUUUCAUAUAGAAAAAGGACACCCACACUGAGAUAUUCUGCAACAAGGGAAACUACAAAACAAUAUCAUAAUGUGGGCACAUCUCAUAGUUGUGAGGGUUCAUCUGAGCAUAACCAUAAACACCCCAACUCAACAUUAACUUGUCUUUUCUGCUCAUACUGUAUCAUAUAUUGGAUUCACAUGGGGUCAGGAAUCCAAAAGAGACUGCAUAUCUAGCUACACCAAAAAAAAAAAGGUGGGGAAAUGAAGAAGGGAGAGAGAGAGAGAACUUAUUCAAAUUCACAUCAACAAUCCUCCUUGUCAUGGAGGUAGCGUGGCUGCUUUUUAAUUUAAUUUUCUGUGUACUUCAACAGAAAUUCCAAGAAAAAUAAAGUGUUUUAAGUUCCGACAGACACUAUCUACCGAGAAAUCAAUUGAGCCUUUGAGUUAAGCAUUGUUAGGGCCUAUCACAAUAAAAAAUCAUGUUGUGAUUUGUUUACUAUUAUCUUCAGCAUGACAAGGGUCUGCAGACCAGUAUUGCCAUUUUAUAUGAUUGAUUAUCACUACACAAAGAAGGGUCAACUAAAUCAGUUCAAGGACGAGCUAAGGCAGAUAUAUAGACAGAAUAUUGACUAUUAGCCUUACAGCAUGUGGACUUACAGAUCAUAGCUGUAUUAAAUUAUUAAGCUAAUUAGAGAUUCCUUGAGUUCUUGGGAGUCAAACAAGAAGCAUCUUUUUUUUCUUAGAAAUUAAUGUAAAUAAUCUGACGAGAUCAUAAACAAUCAACACAUGAAUCUCUACUUUCCUCAUUAAUCUCUGCAUAUAGUUCAUUUGAUCUUUGCUGGUCUGAUUUGAAACUCAUUAGAAAAAGAAAAAGAAAAACCCACUAGAGUCCCUAUUUUCCAGCCAUGGUUUACAGACAUGAAGCUGUGGUCCAUUGCCAGAAAAAGCAGGCUCCACCUAUAAAAAAAAAACCAUUUAUAAUAUUGAUUCUCCAACCCAUAAAAGCCAACAGUGGAUGCAAAGAAUCAGGUUCCCAUUUAUUUUUUACUGGGUUCAUCUCCUUUUCAAUUGAGUGCCCAGAGAAAUCUCAUGGGAGCAUUAUAGAAGAUAAGGACAACUGCACCAAACCUAGUGGGACGAGGAAGAUACUGAACUAUUUUGUAAGGUAGGGGACUGUUUCAACGCGCUUCGAAGAUCUCCAUGACUCUAAAGUCUAAACAAAGCAGAAAAUUAAAUAUAGGAAACGCGGGAAACAAUAAAGGAAAGAGCUAGCCACACGACUUGCAGUCUUGUUCAAUCUUCAUAGAAUAUUUAUUACUUCGCUUGAGGUUUGUAUGGGCUUCCUGCUCUAUUUUAGAAAUCGUAUAUUUGAAGGAAAGAAAAAAAAAAAUCUCUGCUGCAUUCUGUGAAUGUCUCUGUCAUGCGUGGCUGGGGUUUCUUUGGAUAAGAUCAGUUGAUUCACUUGUGCUCAUAGCUUGUACGUGAGAUUUAAUUUUCUGGUUGGAAAAUAAAGCUGUGAUGGAAUAUAUGGUCAUGAAUAUGGGCCGGAACCCCAUCACAGACCCUCAUCAUAAAACAUACGGGUCAUGUUAUGAGUUAUGACAACAUCAUAGAAUGAUGUUAUGGAUCAGUAGCGUCGAGAGAGGUAGCUAGCUAGUAAUAUAGAAAAGCUCCAAAUUAAGAAAUGAGAACCCCAAGCUCAAUGUAAAAUGCUGCAGAGCUCUAGUUUUACUUUUAGGCAAAAUGGGAAUGAGCUUUGAAAUUAAAAAUAAUUUCAUUCUCAAGUGUAAUUUUCUGAUUAUAUGGAGACCAAAUUAGGAAAGAAACCAUAAAGAGUAGGUCUCCACUUUUUUCUGGUUCAAAAACCCAUUGCUCUGGAUACGAGGAGUCCAUCCCACAUUAAUGAUGAUGCAGCAUGCAUGCAUGGGGUAGCCGAGGGCCAAACUGCUUUGCGAGUCUUAGAGUGUAUUAUUAUUGUGCAGAUAAAGAUUGCCAAAUUUAGGCCCAUAUGGGCUCCCACACCAACUUUAGGAAUUACGAGUCUUCUUUUGCUUGAUUUCCUUUUCAUACACCCACUUAACUCAAAUUUAUCCAAUCUUCAAAUUUCUAAAAUUUUCUACUCCAUUCAUUCUCAAGAGAAGGAAAGGCUGAAAAUUAUUUGAAAAUAGAUUUUUUUUUUCCUUCUUUCUUUCUUUCUGUCACUCAUUGUCAACAUUAUCCCUUUUCAAAGGGAGCCAAACAAAAAAGGACCAAUACUUAAAAAAAAAUAAAUAAAUAAAAUAAAAUAAAUGGGUGUGAUGAAUUAAUACUGAGAGGGUCAAGGCUCUUAAAUGAAAGUAAGUAACUUACCAAACAGAAGAAUAAAAAUGAAACAAGACGUACAAGGAGCAGCAGCUACCCCCAACAAGGAAAAUAAUAAAAAUGAAGGUGGUUCAUUAAACAUUGAAAAUUGUACAAUCUCUACUUCCUCACUAUGCUCAUCAGAUUUAAUGGCCAUUUAAUUUCUUGCAAUAAAUUUGUUUCUAUGUCCAACACAGCUGUACAAUCUUCUGAUUACUCCUGAGCAACACAAAUUUGUAAGCAUAUAGUUAUGAGAACCUACCAACCAAAAAAUAUCAAGCUACGCUUGCAAUAAAAUAUGAUUUUUUUUCCAAAGUACUUCUAUAAAAUGAACGACCAGCUGUACACUGACAGAAAGCGUAAUAUUACUAAUGUUUUAAUAUAGAAAAAAAAUAAAAUAAUAAAAUAAUGAUAUAAUUUUAAUGGGUUUGACUUCCAAACUGCCUUUAAAACAUUGUGACUAAAUAGUUAAGAUACAAGGAACAAGCAUCAUUUGUUGUCACAUGUAAGGGGAGUCCAUUAAAAGAAUAUGAACAAAAGAGAAAAAACAUUAUUAAUUAUCCUUUUUAAAAUAAAUUCGAAAAAUGUGAACAAAUUAAUUUAGAAAAAAUUGGCCAAAAGAAUGAAACCUUUCCUUGUAUAAAAUCAAUUAUUAUUUCUAUAUAUACGCCAACAAUUUUUGUUUGAUUUCAUAAAAGAAAUUAUUGAAUUCAAUGAAUUAGAGGGCAGUAGACAAAAACAUUUUUAAAAAUGAUUGUUGUUCAUAAAAUGCAAAAUCGUGUUUCCUUUACUCAAUAAUACGUUCAAUUUUGCCUAAGCAACAACUUUCACGAGUGAGUAUGUUUUGAAGUGAUGGAAUGAAAAUAUUAUUUUGGGUUUUAAAAGUUAACAAAUAAUUCACUAAUGCCUUUGAAAACGAAAGGAAUUGAAAUCAAACUAUAAACCAUAUAGUGAAAGGCAUAUUUGAAAGGAAUUGGGAAAGACAAUGUGACCAAAUUUGGAAUUGGAAUGGGGGAUAAACAGAGGAAAGUGCAAAAAUGAGUGCAUGAUGAUGAUGAUUCAGUGUUGAAGAAUGUCUUAUGCCAAUUCCGUAAGGUAGUAGACAAGUUGUAUUACUUUAUAUUUUUAGAUGGGGCCAUCCCCCUCACCCACUCUCUCAUUGCCCUCAGUUCUAAGCUAUCGUCUGCCUCAGAUAAAACCGGUUCUGAUCUUUCUGUUUCCCUCCUUUCUUUAUUUCUUUUCUUUUCUUUUCUUUUCUUUUUUUAUCAGACUGUAAAACUGCAAACCUCAAGUGCAAUGUUUUUUAAAUGGAUUGAUAUUAAUCUCUUUUAAUUUUCUAUUAUUUAUAUCUACAUUAAGUAGCAUAGGGUAGCUAUAGAAACUUUAGGAUAACUUUAGUAAAGGCAUUGAAACAUAUACAUCGUUUUUUUCUUUUUUUCUUUUUUUCUUUUUUAAGUGUAGUAAUUUUUUGAAUAGUUAGUGUAAAAAAAAAGUGAAUUGAGUUUUUUGAAAAGAUAAAUUUAGUAUAAAAAUUUUAUAAGAAUUCACAUUUUUAAAAAUGAACUCUUUGAUAAUGAAAAAAUGAGAGUUAUCAAAUAAAGUGGGCCAAUGAUGAUAAUAAUCAGGAUGGGUCAUUUUAUCUUAUAAAUCCCUACAAAUGACCAAAAUUAUUAUCAGUUUUUUUUACCAUUUGAAUGACUUUUUAAAUUGUGGCUUGAUAGAAAUAAGAGAGAAAGAAAAGUAAAAUUCUCUAGUUCACUUCACGAUUGAAAUUUGCAACUUGAUCAAUAUAUGACUUAUUAUAAACAAGAGAGAAGGAAAUCAAAUUCAAGCUUUAAAUUUUCACAUUCCCAUCUUCUUGUCGUACUAGUCUCCUUUUCCUUCUUUAUAAAUGACAAUGUGGAGAAGUUUAAGAAAACCCUUCUUCAAAAGGUACGCUAAUUUCUUUCUCUUCAUAGAUAUUUUUAUUUUUGUUUAAGAAAUUCAUUUUAUAGAGAUUUCAAUUUUUAGGAUUUUAUUUUGGGCAUUUGAAAAUCCUUUUAUAAUAAUUUCACUUUGGGUAUAUGAAAAAUCACUUUAUUGUGAUUUGAAUUUCUAAGGUUUGAUUUUGAUAAUUAGAGAAAUCUCAUUUUCUUAAGAUCCAUUACAAAACAAAGUAGUGUAGUUUAAAAAAUUUGUUUAUAACUUAAACAUCAAAUUUUUACAUGAAAAAUUGUAAUAUCUUUUGUUUCAUGAUUUAUAUAUAUAUAUAUAUAAAUUAUAUUUUUACUACUAUCAUUUUCAUCCUUUGUUUUCUCUUCUUGUUUCAACCUUCAUAUCUUUUUUUUAUAUGCAUUUUUGGAGGUCUCUUUGCAUUUUUAACCCUGUUUUUUCUUUUUCUUUUUUGUUUUUUUUCAAUUUUAGGGUUGAUUUUCAGGGUAAGUACUCAUAUCUAAAUUUUAGAUUUUUAUUGCUUUAAUUAAUGUCCUUGCCUUAUUUUUCAAUUUGUGAUUUAUGUAAUUGGUAAUUGAGAUACUUUUUAUAUAAGUAUAUUGAGCGGAUAACAAAAAUUUCUAUAUAUGAACUAAGAUUCUCUAUGGAGGUCCUCAAAGCACUCUUUGUUUUUAUAGAAAAAGUUCCCUUUUUCAGGUUUUGUUUUUUUUCCUUUAAGACUCCAUUUAUGAAAUAUGGGAAAAAGAAAGUUGUCAUGCAUUUUCAAUAGUUUUAUGAAUAAAAUAAGUAUUUAAUCCUAAAAUUUGUUUAUACAUUUAUUCCCUUUUUUAUGUUAAGGUCCUCAAAGAUAUUUUUGUUUCAAAAAAAAAAUAUAGUUAAGUGAAAUUAACUUUUCUUGAAUUUUCUCUUAUUUCGAGCUCUAUUUAUAAAACCUAAGAGAAAAAAAAUUGCCAUGCAUUUUCAAUAGAUUCAAAAGUAAAAUAUGUGUUUAAGUCUGAAAUUUGUUUAUACAUUUAUAUAAUAUGUUUCUUUCUUUUCUAAUAUGAUGAUCAUUUUUUGGAAAAAAAAACUUGUGCUUAAAAAAGUACUUAGUUGGUACUUUGGUUGGAGACUGUCAUUGGCACACGACUUGAUACUCAAGUUCAUUGCAAGCUUACUGAUUUAAAAACACAAACUAUUGAUCAGGUUUUGUGAAUCAAUAAUAUGAAUUGGCAAUAGUUAGUAGUGCAACAAUGUUACUACACAAAGCUUUUAGUCUAAGGCAACACUCUUAUUUUUUAAAAUAUAUCACCGAAGAACAAUAAAAUGGUCAUGUGAGAGUGAUUAAUGCAUGUUGGCGUGUAUUUUACUUUGUAUUAUUACUAACCUUCUUUGAAAAACAUUGGUUUUGCUCCUAGAUCAUAAUCAAAAUAGUGAAUUAGAACAUAUGGAACCAUCUCUUUAUCUUUCUAUCAAGAAAAAAUAUGGUAGAUUAAUUGAUAUAUCAUUUAAUGAAAGAGCCCAAUGCAAAAAAAAAUGCAUGUUGGGUCUUUGAAACAGUUCAAAUCAUUUUGAUUUGUUUUAUCGAGGUCUAUAGUUCGAGUCCAUAAAACCCUAAUAUAAUAAAUAAGCCCUAUAAAAUAAAAAAAAUAUGAAAAAUAAUAUAUAUAUGAUUAUUAGUCCAUUUAAUGUAGAUUUGGAUUACUUUACAUAUACAUUAUUUUUAUACAAAAUAUAUGAAUGACAAUAAUAUACUACGCUUAUAAUAUAAAUAUACUAAUAUUAUAAUAUAUUAUGACAUGACCUAAUUAGAAGCUUUUGAACUUGUUUACGAAAGUGACAAUUAUGGUUCAUUAUUUUAUACUCUUUGACAUAUUGUACGUCAUAAAAAAAACUUAGAAGUGAAAUAUAGUAUCAAUUUGAAUUCACAAGACACAUAGGUUUUUUCUUUUUAUUUUAUAAAAUUCAUUAUGUAAUAAUUUUAAUGCAUUGAGUGAAUGAUGCUCAUACACUAGUGUGUUAUGUUAGAUGCCAAUAAGUAUAAAAAGACAUCGUUACUUGUAUUAUAAAAUUUUGGUAAUGACAAAAAUGCAUUACACUUACAAUAUAAAGAGACUCAUUACUAUACAUUACAACAUGACUUAAUUUAUAAAGUUUUAAAUUUUUUUUAUGCAAUUGUUAGGUAUAGGUUACUUUGUUAUAUUCCCUACCAUGCUUUAUGUCAUAAGUCAACGCUAGAUGUUAAAUAAAGUAUCACUUUGAAUUCACAAAUGUUAUUUUAAAGAAAUAACUUAGUAUUUUAUCAAAAAGUAUGAAUUAAUAAUAACCUAAAAUUGUUUUCUUGUAAUUUUUAGGAGAAGAUGACAAAUACAAGGUAAAGUUUCUAACAUAACUUAUAAUAUUUGAUGAUAAUGAAGUUCAAGAUAUCAUUUAUCACUGCAUAGAGAACACACGAAGUCCAUGAUGCUUUAUUGAGAGUUCAUUGAGAAUGUUUGAAGAUAAACAAUAUUGGAAUAAUUUACAUAUUAAUGAAUUUGCUAUAUUCCAUUUAUAUAUUGGUGAAUUUUUCCCUUUUAAUUUGUUUUGUUAGUUAAUGGGUAGUCCAUUGAUAUGUUAUUUCUUUAGAGAAAGAAUUUAGUAUAAAAUGAUAAUCAUACCAAAAAGUCAAAUAUUUAGGCAAAGGAAAACUUGAUUGUUUUAAUAUUUGUGACAGAUGUUUUUUUUCCCUCAAUGUAAUAUGAUAAUAAUUGCUAGUCAUCUUGUUAAAAAAAAUUUGUAUGGGUACUAUUCAACGCAAGCUAGAAGUUUCUAUUAAUUGUCUUACUAUAAAUUUUUAAUACAUAUUUUCCCAAUUAAAUAUGAAUCAAUGUUACUUACAUUUACUUCAUUACUUAGAUAUCAGUGCAUAGAAAAAAUUCUUAGUGAUGUAAAACAAUUAAAAAAAAUUAUAUUAGAUAUUAUUGUAAGGUAUUAUAAUGUUAGUAUAUUUAUAUUGAAAAUAUAAUUGAUUUAUGUCAUUCUUAUAAUUUAAAACAAAAUUUGUAGUUUUAGAGAUGCCUUUUAUACCUUAUGGGUACUAUUAGCAUCAUAUAUUCGAUGUAUUAAAAAAUGGAAACUAUGAAAAAAAAAAAAACUCAAAGUCAAGCAAAAAACAUAUUAUUCAAAUGAAAAAAAAUCAAAUAUGAAAAGAAAUAAUUAUACAAUUUUUUAAUUAUUUUAUUAUAAAAAACCAAAUUAUCCGAAAAUACAUUUUCCUUCAAUUAUUAUUUUUCUUUUCUUUUCAAAAAUGAGAUUGUUAUAAAGAACCUAAUGAAAGGGAAUUUAUGAUUUCUAAAAUAAAAACCAAAUCCAAGAUCAAUAUGAGUAUCUUCCAUCAAUACAACAAAACAAAAUUAAAUAAAAAAAAAAUUCAACUUAAAAGACAAUAAAUUUGAGCAUCAAUAUGGGUUUCAUAUUAUCUUUGGCUUCAAAUGAUAACAGUUGAUCUAACGGUUCAGAAAAAAAAAAAUUAUGGGAGAGCAUGAAGUAUUUUUAUAACUAGAUUUGUUGUUGGAUCUUCUUCGAGGAUAUGCAAGAGAUGAAGAAGAAGAUUAACACAAAUGGCCUUUGGAGGAAUUUUUACACUUUCUUCCCACCCUUCCCAAGACUUCUCAUAAUGGAUGAUUCCAUGGGGUCAUUAUCACCAUUAAUCCACCCUAUUUAGUAAUUUUCCCUACAAAAAAAGUGCAAGUUUUGCGUUAAAUUAUCAUAGAUAAGAAAGAGUAAUUUUUAAUAUGAAAUUAAAUUAUUUAAAAAAAAUAAAGAAUAAUGAGUGCGCAAAUCAAAAGAAAAAAAUGGUUUAGUUUGAGGGAAAAUCAAAGUAUGAAAAAAAAAACAAAAAAGUUUCACGAAGUGUGAGAAAAAAAAUCAUUUUAAAUUUAGUUAGAGAGAAUUUUAGAGAGUUUUAUUUUUCGAAGAAAAAAAUGAGUUUGAAAAAAAAAAAAAAAGAGAGAAGGAAUUCUAAAGAUUGAGUUUUAGUGAAAGGGAAUAUUUAAAAUUAAUAAAUUAUUGUGUAAAAAGGAUGUUUAAAACAAAUUAAAUUUGGUGUUUGUAGAGUAAAAAUAAUUUAAAUAAAUACAUUAACCAUCAACAAAAAAAAUAUAUUAAAAUACUAAAUUAAUUAAAAUAUAAUAAUCCUAUAGAAGGAGAGUUAAAUAAUAGUUCAACCAAUACAAAAAAAAUGUCAAAAAUGUUGAACAAGCUUAAGAUCAAGUAUAAAAAAUAAAAUAAAAAGUCAUUAUUAUUUUAUAAAAAUUUUAAAAUUAUACUUGAACUUUUUUUUCUCUUUUAAUUAGAUGAAUAUGAAUGUUUCAAUUAUUAUUUGAAUUGCAUUUAUGACAUGGUUAACACAUAUAACAUAUUGAGAUACUCAAUGUAUUGUAUUAUACCGUAUCCAAUAAAUUCAACUAGAUUAGUAUACAAAAAAUUUUACUAUCAAUGUCCAAUAUUAAUUUGAACUUAUUAUUCAAUUAGCAUACUAUUUCUUGUUUGGUUAUUUAAUAUUUAUGAAUUAUAACUACAAAAUAAUUUUUACUAAUACUAAUGCAUAUGAUAAAUUUUGGUUAUUAGAUUAUAAAUUAGUUGAAAAUAAUUUUUAACAAAACAAUAUUUUGUCUUUACUCUUUCUAGACAUAUCUUCAAGUUAUAUAAUUAAAUAAAUUUUAAUUGUUUUCCAUCUCUUAAGACUUAAAUUUUUAUUAGAAAAAAAUAAGUUAAGAUAUAUUAUUUUAUUAAAUAAUAUAAUGUAAUUUUUAAUAAAUAUUGAAUAAUUUCAAAUAUUAAUAUAAAAAAUAUGAAAUCAAUCUAAUUAGUAUGGUUUUAAAAAUCGAAUCGGACCGCUCGGUCCAACCGCUGGCCAAUCACGGUUUCAAUUUGAUUAAUUAGGUCGAAAAUAGUUUGAAUUGAAAUCGGACCCAACCCUUGAAUUAGAGGAACCGAUCGAUUCCAUCCGAACCGAAUGAACCCUGGUUGCUUAUUUUCAAUCUAAUUAGUAAACUUAUAUAAUUGCCUAAUAAAAUAAAAUACACUCAAAUUAAAAAGAAAAAAAAAAAGAAAAAAGAGUGCAAAUGUUGGACACAACCUUGGUUGCUUAUUUUCAUGACUUUAAACUCUGCUUUUUAAGAUGGAACGUGAUUCAUUCAAGUUAAGAAAUCCUUUAGGCUAUAUUUGGUUCCCGAAAAAUUUGAGAGAAAAUGCGAGAGAAAUAAAAUAGAGAAAAAAAGUGGAAGUAAAAAAAAUGAAGGAAACUAAAAAAAAUAGAUUCAAAAUUAAUAUAUUAUUUUUACAUGUUUCUUCAAGCUCAUUUCACUUAAUUUCCUCCAUUAUAUAAAGAUUAAAUAAAUUUAAAAUAUAUGAAUUUUUAACUAAUUUUAAUUAUAUUUAAUUUUCUUUUAAAAAAUUUGUAGUGAAACUAAAUAUAAGAAAAUUAUUUUUCUUUGCAUUUUUUUCUUUUCUUAUUUCUUUUUGGGAACCAAACAUAACCUUAAUGUACACUUAUUUUAGGUACCAAUGGACCUUUAUCAUUCCAUCAAAAACUUAAUAUACUACAUUGGAAAACAAGAAGUAAAAAACUAGUUUUGCAAAUUGAAUACAAUUAUGAAAAAAAAAAAAAUAGUUUCAAGGUGCAAUGAAAAAAGUUUACAAGUUUUAGAAUAUUGCACAAAAAAAUAUAUUAACAAAAUCUCAAGGUUUAGACAACAAACUGAUUUACAAGUAGUAAUCUUUCUAUGGAUGAAGUUUAAGAGCCUUAAAAGAGAGGUUCAAGUCAAAACUAAUCUUUAGAUAUAAGUUAUAAUUUAACUAAUCAAUCACUUAUUAUGUAUUAUACUUUUUGGGCAACCUUGGACUGUUAGCCACUGCAACCUACAACUUUUUCCCACUGCUCAAUUAGGUUAUGUUUGGUUUGGGGAAAGUAUUAAAGAAAAAAAAAUUAAGAAAAAUUUAUUUCCUUAUGUUUGAUUUUUCUAUAAUUUAUUUUUUAAGAAAAUUAAAUAUAAUUAAACUUAGUUAAAAAUUUAUAUAUUUUAAAAUUAUUUAAUCUUUAUAUAAUGAAGGAAAUUAAGUGAAAUGAAUUUGAAAAAACAUGUAAAAAUAAUUUAUUAAUUUUGAAUCUAUAUUUUAUUUUACUUUAUUUUUUCUUUCAUUCCACUUUUCUUUUUUCUUUUUUUCCCCUUACAUUUUCUCUCAGAUUUUUAAGGAAUCAAACAGAGGGUAUGAAUUUGAAUAUUUUUUAGCUAUAAAGGUCCAAGAAUUGGUUCAAUUGAAUAUCCAUAUAAUUUUGGAGGAACAUUUUAACAAUAUUAAUAAAUGUUUAUUCGAAUUGAAAAAUAUAUUUUAACUAAUGAUAAAAAUGAAUCAUGUUAAAUUUGAGCUUUUAAUUUUGUAUGAAUCAAACUCUUUGUUUUUUUUUGAAGAAAAAAAAAAUCAACAAUGCAUAAAUGGGUUUUUUUUUUUUAAAUCUUUAUAAAACUAUGAUUCUUUUUCCUUUAAAAAUGUUUAAUUUUUAAAUGUCAAUAUUAAGGCAUAUUUAUUAUCAUUGAAAAAAAAAUAUCUUUUGAUUUUCUUUUCAAUGUCAUUAAAAUUAAAGUCAUAAAUUAUAUGCUAAUCUUUAAUAGAAUGAUUCCACUUUUACCAUCACUUUCGUUAUCUACCUAGCUAUUGGGGAACUCAUGAUGGGACGUGAUAAAAAAAUGAAGUAAUUAUUUCACAAGUUAUUUAUCAAUUUUUUUUAAAAAAUCCUAAUUACCAUAACAUCACAAGAUUUUCUAUAAAUUAUUUUGCCAAACAUUAUGAAAAUGAUGAGAUAAUUUAAUGCUUCUAAAAUUAUAAUAAUUGAAGAAUAAGAUGAGAUUUGAUAGUUGUGGUGAAGUCUAAGACCGCGUUGAGUGUAAUCUGUAAUUAGAGAUAGUGGGGAAUUUCACGAGGCUUGUCAGUAGGCAAAACGCUGGAGUUUAUGCCCCAAUAAUCAAAUCGGGAAGCAGAGAUUCAAACGACAACAAACAAAAGCAAUAGCGGCUAGACGCGUGAAAAAUCCUUUAUGACGUAACGUGCCCCCCACUCAGAAAUCGCCACGUGUGGCACACGCGUCUUCUGAAUUACUUGAAAAUUGAGCAUCCAUUGAGUGUGCCCUGUCCCUUCUGUUUUUACCGAGUCAGUGAUGGACUUGUUAUAUUUUGAAUCCCACUCUCAUCUGCCACUCAUUAUCCUUCUCUACAUGUUUUAAAUAACUGAAAUUACUCUUAAGUGAGUCCACUCGACUACGGGGAUAUAUGAUUCACUCUCUUCUCAUAAGUUCAACUUCAAUUUUUUUUUUGGAUAAAGACAUGGUAAUAUGUACAAAUUUUCUUAAUUCUUGCAAAAAACCGUGACGCAUUAUUUUUAUUUAUUUAAAAAAAUAUGGGUAUAUUUGUGGAUGGAAGGCUUGGAAGCCAUAAUCUUGUACAGGUGAAUGGUGACAGACUUCAUUUAUGAUGGGGUAGUACUAUAUAAUAUUCUUUGUUUUUGGGAAGCAAAACUCUUAAACUUAAUAAUGAAUAAUUUUCUACCUGUUUAAGACUCAGCCUAUCAAAAUAAAACGGCCAAAACCCGGCCUUUAUCUCUCCGUAACUCCUAUAAAUUUCUGGUUCCAACGCAUCAGACACGCCAACAUUCUCGCUUCUUCUCCUCACUUCUCACUUCUCACUUCUCAAACUGAAGGAGAUAGAGAGAGAAAUGCAUAGACAACAUAAGCUUUUGAGCCAUCUCUUUCUCAUUUUCUUAUUCUCAGCUUCGUUUCCCAAUGUAGGAAUGGGUUUUUUUUCUUUUCUUUCUUUUGUUUUCUCAAUAAUUUUUCUUCUUUUUUCACACCCUUUCAAUUCACAAUGCAGGUUGCUUUGGGCGGAGCCGGUGAGGAAUCGGGCAAACCGGUGGCUGGAGAAAACCCAUUCACACCCAGAGCGUCUUUGCUUCGGUAUUGGAAUAAGCAGAUCGGCAGUGGCUUGCCAAAGUCCACCUUUCUUCUCUCCAAGGCAUCCCCAUUGAGCGCGGUUGAGUCGGCCACCUUUACUAAACUUGCCGCUCAAAAUGCGCUUUCCGACAAUCUGCCGGCGUUCUGUAAGUCUGCGAACCUGCUCUGUUUUCCCGAUUUGGGGCAGAGCUUGGAGAAGCAUGACGCUAGUUCCAACUUCGCCGUGUAUUCGAACAAGAAUUUCACCAAUUACGGAACGGAUGGACUCGGGGGAACGGACGCCUUCACAAAAUACUCGGAGGGGGUCAAUCUUCCUGUCGACGCAUUCAAGCGCUAUAGCCGUGACUCCGUCGGCAACAAUGAUAAAUUCGAUAAUUACGGCCGCGAGGGCAACGUCGUGGAUCAGAGCUUCAGCGGCUACGGUGCCGGGGCUACCGGCGGCUCUGGAGAGUUCAAGAAGUACAACGAAGAGGUUAAUGUUCCCAACCUUCGAUUCAACUCCUACACAGACGAUGGCAAUGGCCGUCAACAAUCAUUCACGAGUUACACAAAUGAGACCAAUUCUGGAGAUGAGUCCUUCAGUAGCUACGGCAAGAACGGCAACGGAUCUCCGAACGAGUUCACGAGUUACGGCAGCAGCUCCAACGUCAUCGGCUCCACGUUCACCGGCUACGGUGAAACCGGCAAUGCCGCCAACGAUACGUUCAAGAGCUACGGCUUUGACGGCAACGUGCCAGAGAACAACUUCAAGAAAUACGGUGAUGGUGGUAAUGCGGGGACCGAUACUUUCAUAAGUUACAGAGAUCAAUCCAAUGUAGGAGACGACUCCUUCAAAUCCUACGCCAAGAAUUCCAAUUCCGCAGAGGUGGAUUUCGUCAACUAUGGGAAAUCGUUCAACGAAGGUACAGACACUUUCGCUGGGUACGGCAAGGGAGCGACGAACCACAAAAUUAAUUUCAAGAUCUACGGCGUCAACAACACAUUCACAGACUACGCUAAAAAGGGCAUCUCCUUUUCAAGAUACACCAACAAAAGCUCUGAAACAAUGACUUCCAUGGCGGUCAGUGGCAGUUCAGUAAAUAGGUGGGUUGAGCCGGGUAAAUUCUUCCGCGAGUCGAUGCUGAAGAAAGGGACUGUGAUGCCAAUGCCGGACAUUAGGGAUAAAAUGCCCAAAAGGUCGUUUUUGCCCCGCACUAUUUCCUCCAAAUUUCCGUUUUCAACCUCCAAACUUGAGGAGAUGAAGAAAAUAUUCCAUGCCGCGGAUAACUCAAGCAUGGAGCACAUGUUCACAGAGGCAUUAGAUGACUGCGAGAGAGCACCCAGCAAAGGCGAGACCAAGCGCUGCGUCCCCUCCAUCGAGGACAUGAUCGACUUCGCCACCACCGUCCUCGGCCGCAACGUUGUGGUUCGCACCACCCAAUCCGUCGAAGGGUCAAAACAAAACUUAAUGAUCGGGUCGGUCAAAGGGAUCAACGGUGGACAAGUCACCAAAUCGGUGUCCUGCCACCAGAGCCUGUUCCCUUAUCUACUCUAUUACUGCCACUCCGUUCCCAAGGUUCGGGUCUAUGAAGCGGACCUCCUGGACCCGAAAACCAAAGCCAACGUUAACCAUGGUGUUGCCAUCUGUCACUUGGACACCUCCGAUUGGAGCGCGGGUCAUGGUGCAUUCGUGGCAUUGGGUUCGGGCCCUGGCCGGAUUGAAGUUUGUCACUGGAUUUUCGAGAAUGAUAUGACCUGGACCAUUGCAGACUGAGCCAUGAC